Molecule: transfer RNA, 84 nt
Filed under: Patescibacteria group bacterium
Lineage: Bacteria
Description: tRNA-Leu
Rfam family: tRNA
About the family: Transfer RNA (tRNA) molecules are approximately 80 nucleotides in length. Their secondary structure includes four short double-helical elements and three loops (D, anti-codon, and T loops). Further hydrogen bonds mediate the characteristic L-shaped molecular structure. tRNAs have two regions of fundamental functional importance: the anti-codon, which is responsible for specific mRNA codon recognition, and the 3' end, to which the tRNAs corresponding amino acid is attached (by aminoacyl-tRNA synthetases). tRNAs cope with the degeneracy of the genetic code in two manners: having more than one tRNA (with a specific anti-codon) for a particular amino acid; and 'wobble' base-pairing, i.e. permitting non-standard base-pairing at the 3rd anti-codon position.
Source: RNAcentral
GCGGGCGUGGUGGAAUGGCAGACACGCGUGGUUUAGGACCACGUGGGGCAACCCGUACAGGUUCAAGUCCUGUCGCCCGCACCA